AUGACCUGGACAGCACUUUUCCUCAGCCUCCUGGCUCAUUGCACAGGCUCUGUAGCCUCUUAUGUGCUGACUCAGCCAUCCUCAGUAUCGGUGACCCCAGGACAGACGACCAAAAUCACYUGUGGAGGCAACAGCAUUGGAAAUAAAUAUGUGCACUGGUACCAGCAGAAGACAGCACAGACCCCUCUGCUAAUCAUCUACAGAGAUAGCAACCGGCCCUCAGGGAUCCCUGACCAAUUCUCUGGCUCCAACUCUGGGAACACAGCCACCCUGACCAUCAGUGAGGUCCAGGCUGGAGAUGAGGCUGACUAUUACUGUCAGACAGAGGAUAGCAAUGCUGCUCACAGUGACACAGGCAGACACGGAAUGUCCUCAGGCCCUCAAGAGUUCCUGGCCCUUUUGCAAGAGUUCACAGUCUACUUACAAGAAAGAGUUUGGAUUUACAGCCAAGCUUAUGACUCCAGCAGCGAAGAUGAAGAGCCUGCAGGCCACGUCUUCACCAUUACAGCCCUCGUCCAUAGAGAAGACAUUGUAACAGAUCCUGAGGAUGAGGAUGAGGAGAAAGGACCAGAAAUCUGCAAGUAA
Molecule: non-coding RNA, 585 nt
Organism: Urocitellus parryii (Arctic ground squirrel)
Lineage: Eukaryota; Metazoa; Chordata; Mammalia; Rodentia; Sciuridae
Source: the annotation of a RefSeq genome assembly